This 1146-nucleotide ribosomal RNA is filed under the name uncultured fungus. RNAcentral describes it as "eukaryotic LSU rRNA". The stretch from base 513 to 1146 matches the Rfam family "Eukaryotic large subunit ribosomal RNA", at positions 1 to 649 of the family's 3401-position model. Lineage: Eukaryota; Fungi. The record is from RNAcentral.
GUCGUAACAAGGUUUCCGUAGGUGAACCUGCGGAAGGAUCAUUACCGAGUUCAUGCCCUCACGGGUAGACCUCCCACCCUUUGUAUACCAUACCUUUGUUGCACUGGCGGGNAGCCUAGCUACUGGCUUCGGCUGGUAAGUGCCCGCCAGAGGACCCUAAACCCUGAAUGUUAAAGUGUCGUCUGAGCAAGAAGUUUAAUAUUUAAAACUUUCAACAACGGAUCUCUUGGCUCUGGCAUCGAUGAAGAACGCAGCGAAAUGCGAUAAGUAAUGUGAAUUGCAGAAUUCAGUGAAUCAUCGAAUCUUUGAACGCACAUUGCGCCCCUUGGUAUUCCGAGGGGGCAUGCCUAUUCGAGCGUCAUUAUCACCCCUCAAGCUCCGGCUUGGUGUUGAGGCCUGCCGUAAAGGCACCCUCUAAAAUCAGUGGCAGUGCCGUCAGGCUCUAAGCGUAGUAACUUCAUCGCUAUAGGGUCCUGGUGGAUGCUCGCCAAACCCCCCCAUAUUUUAAUGAUUGACCUCGGAUUAGGUAGGGAUACCCGCUGAACUUAAGCAUAUCAAUAAGCGGAGGAAAAGAAACCAACAGGGAUUGCCUCAGUAACGGCGAGUGAAGCGGCAAAAGCUCAAAUUUGAAAUCGGGCUCCUUCAGGGUCCGAGUUGUAAUUUGUAGAAGAUGUUUCGGGUGUGGCUCCGGUUUAAGUUCUUUGGAAUAUUACAUCGUAGAGGGUGAGAAUCCCGUAUGUGACCGGCAGCCUCCGCCCAUGUGAAACUCUUUCGACGAGUCGAGUUGUUUGGGAAUGCAGCUCAAAAUGGGAGGUAUAUUUCUUCUAAAGCUAAAUAUUGGCCAGAGACCGAUAGCGCACAAGUAGAGUGAUCGAAAGAUGAAAAGCACUUUGGAAAGAGAGUUAAACAGUACGUGAAAUUGUUGAAAGGGAAGCGCUCGCAACCAGACUUGCACGCAGUUGAUCAUCCGGUGUUCUCACCGGGGCACUCUGCUGCGUUCAGGCCAGCAUCGGUUUCGGUGGUUGGAUAAAGGCCGCGGGAAUGUGGCUUCCUUCGGGGAGUGUUAUAGCCCUCGGUGCAAUGCAGCCCACCGGGACCGAGGACCGCGCUUCGGCUAGGAUGCUGGCGUAAUGGUUGUAAGCGACC